UACGGGGGGAGCAAGCGUUGUUCGGAUUUACUGGGCGUAAAGGGCGCGUAGGCGGUCAGCACAAGUCAGUUGUGAAAUCUCCGGGCUUAACUCGGAAAGGUCAACUGAUACUGUGCGACUAGAGUGCGGAAGGGGCAACUGGAAUUCUCGGUGUAGCGGUGAAAUGCGUAGAUGUCGAGAGGAACACCUGCGGCGAAGGCGGGUUGCUGGGCCGACACUGACGCUGAUGCGCGAAAGCCAGGGGAGCGAACGGG
RNAcentral lists this ribosomal RNA (254 nucleotides) under uncultured bacterium. RNAcentral's name for it is "partial 16S ribosomal RNA". It matches the Rfam family "Bacterial small subunit ribosomal RNA", at positions 524 to 776 of the family's 1533-position model. The record is from RNAcentral.